AUUUGGUUAGACACAAUUCGAUUCCAUAUACCUAUAGGUCUUUAUUAAGAUUGAUUACCGGAACGCAAGGAGAGUUUUCGAAAUUUUCUUUUGUAUUUUCUCGCUUCUGACGUCACAAUCUAAGAUGCAAUGAGUAGAGAUACAGUCGCUAAUGCCGGCUGUAUUUAAACUUUGAAGAUUCAUAAUUAAAAAAGUUCUUAUCGAAAGAGGAUUUAUAAUAACCAAUGUUUUAAAAACAUCUCGA
Trachymyrmex septentrionalis is the source of this 244-nucleotide long non-coding RNA. RefSeq lists it as uncharacterized. The transcript is spliced from 3 exons. The record is from RefSeq and is a predicted model, not a curated record. Lineage: Eukaryota; Metazoa; Arthropoda; Insecta; Hymenoptera; Formicidae.